RNAcentral lists this ribosomal RNA (253 nucleotides) under uncultured bacterium. Its description in RNAcentral is "partial 16S ribosomal RNA". It matches the Rfam family "Bacterial small subunit ribosomal RNA", at positions 524 to 776 of the family's 1533-position model. The record is from RNAcentral.
UACGUAGGGGGCGAGCGUUGUCCGGAUUUAUUGGGCGUAAAGAGCGUGUAGGCGGCCAGGUAGGUCUGCUGUGAAAACUCGAGGCUCAACCUCGAGACGUCGGCGGAAACCAUCUGGCUAGAGUCCGGAAGAGGAGAGUGGAAUUCCUGGUGUAGCGGUGAAAUGCGCAGAUAUCAGGAGGAACACCUAAGGCGAAGGCAGCUCGCUGGAACGGUACUGACGCUGAGGCGCGAAAGCGUGGGGAGCGAACAGG